GAUGAACGCUAGCGGCAGGCCUAAUACAUGCAAGCCGAACGGCAAGAUUUUCAGCAAUGGAAAUCCUAGAGUGGCGUAAGGGUGCGUAACACGUAUGCAAUCUGCCCUCAACAGGAGGAUAGCUCCCCGAAAGGGGAAUUAAGACUCCAUAAGAUCUUAGAGUGGCAUCACUUAGAGAUUAAACUACCAGGGGUUGAGGAUGAGCAUGCGCAUGAUUAGUUAGUUGGCGGGGUAACGGCCCACCAGACGAUGAUCAUUAGGGGAACUGAGAGGUUGAUCCCCCA
RNAcentral lists this ribosomal RNA (284 nucleotides) under uncultured bacterium. RNAcentral describes it as "partial 16S ribosomal RNA". It matches the Rfam family "Bacterial small subunit ribosomal RNA", at positions 28 to 310 of the family's 1533-position model. The record is from RNAcentral.